This 257-nucleotide unclassified non-coding RNA is filed under the name uncultured fungus. Its description in RNAcentral is "sequence contains ITS2". The stretch from base 1 to 52 matches the Rfam family "5.8S ribosomal RNA", at positions 103 to 154 of the family's 154-position model. Lineage: Eukaryota; Fungi. The record is from RNAcentral.
AACGCAUAUUGCGCCCUUUGGUAUUCCGAAGGGCAUGCCUGUUCGAGCGUCAUUAUCAACCCUCAAGCUUUUUGCUUGUUGUUGGAUAUGUUAUUCUUCAGAAUAACCGUCCCAAAGACAAUGGCAGUGUCAGUUUGACCCUCAAUGCAACGAGCUUUCCAUAAGCACGCAUUUGAAGUGGUUGAUUGAUACUUUGACCUUUUCAAAUUUUUCUUAAGGUUGACCUCGGAUCAGGUAGGAAUACCCGCUGAACUUAA